UAGGGAAUCUUCCGCAAUGGGCGAAAGCCUGACGGAGCAACGCCGCGUGAGUGAUGAAGGUCUUCGGAUCGUAAAACUCUGUUAUUAGGGAAGAACAAAUGUGUAAGUAACUAUGCACGUCUUGACGGUACCUAAUCAGAAACCCACGGCUAACUACGUGCCAGCAGCCGCGGUAAUACGUAGGUGGCAAGCGUUAUCCGGAAUUAUUGGGCGUAAAGCGUGCGUAGGCGGUUUUUUAAGUCUGAUGUGAAAGCCCACGGCUCAACCGUGGAGGGUCAUUGGAAACUGGAAAACUUGAGUGCAGAAGAGGAAAGUGGAAUUCCAUGUGUAGCGGUGAAAUGCGCAGAGAUAUGGAGGAACACCAGUGGCGAAGGCGACUUUCUGGUCUGUAACUGACGCUGAUGUGCGAAAGCGUGGGGAUCAAACAGG
RNAcentral lists this ribosomal RNA (429 nucleotides) under Acidobacteriota bacterium. RNAcentral's name for it is "Acidobacteria bacterium partial 16S ribosomal RNA". It matches the Rfam family "Bacterial small subunit ribosomal RNA", at positions 355 to 776 of the family's 1533-position model. Lineage: Bacteria; Pseudomonadati; Acidobacteriota. The record is from RNAcentral.